CCCCUUCUGAAAAAGCACUCGCUGGGCCUGCGCCGUGGCCGGGCGAGUUGUCGUGGAAGGGCAGAGCGAAGGCGCCGCUUUUGGGUGAGGUGGCAGCUCCUGCUGCUCGCCUCAAUCGGUGGUGGGACAGCU
This 132-nucleotide small nucleolar RNA is filed under the name Merops nubicus (carmine bee-eater). Lineage: Eukaryota; Metazoa; Chordata; Aves; Coraciiformes; Meropidae. The record is from RNAcentral.